GUGUUAAUGCAUGUUAGAGACUUGGUACAAAGAACCAAGCUACUAAAACAUACCACACACUAAAAUAAAGAUGAGAUAGACCUAUCUCAAUCCAGCUCAUGUUGGUUCACCUGACACAAGGUCAUUGAUGAAUCAACUAGCAUUUGGACAUUAGAGAAAUCAUUGGUUAAUGAAGGAUUGGGAAAUAAUAGGGAUGAAG
This 199-nucleotide long non-coding RNA is filed under the name Lathyrus oleraceus (garden pea). RNAcentral describes it as "Pisum sativum (pea) long non-coding RNA (PSAT_LNC001845)". The record is from RNAcentral. Lineage: Eukaryota; Viridiplantae; Streptophyta; Magnoliopsida; Fabales; Fabaceae.